GGGUUGUGAGGUUAAGCGACUAAGCGUACACGGUGGAUGCCCUGGCAGUCAGAGGCGAUGAAGGACGUGCUAAUCUGCGAAAAGCGUCGGUAAGGUGAUAUGAACCGUUAUAGCCGGCGAUGUCCGAAUGGGGAAACCCAGUGCAAUUCGUUGCACUAUCGUUAACUGAAUACAUAGGUUAACGAGGCGAACCGGGGGAACUGAAACAUCUAAGUACCCCGAGGAAAAGAAAUCAACCGAGAUUCCCCCAGUAGCGGCGAGCGAACGGGGAGCAGCCCAGAGUCUGAAUCAGCUUGUGUGUUAGUGGAACGGUCUGGAAAGUCCGACGGUACAGGGUGAUAGUCCCGUACACCAAAAUGCACAGGUUGUGAACUCGAAGAGUAGGGCGGGACACGUGGUAUCCUGUCUGAAUAUGGGGGGACCAUCCUCCAAGGCUAAAUACUCCUGACUGACCGAUAGUGAACCAGUACCGUGAGGGAAAGGCGAAAAGAACCCCGGCGAGGGGAGUGAAAAAGAACCUGAAACCGUGUACGUACAAGCAGUGGGAGCACCUUCGGGUGUGACUGCGUACCUUUUGUAUAAUGGGUCAGCGACUUAUAUUCUGUAGCAAGGUUAACCGUAUAGGGGAGCCGCAGGGAAACCGAGUCUUAACUGGGCGUUAAGUUGCAGGGUAUAGACCCGAAACCCGGUGAUCUAGCCAUGGGCAGGUUGAAGGUUGGGUAACACUAACUGGAGGACCGAACCGACUAAUGUUGAAAAAUUAGCGGAUGACUUGUGGCUGGGGGUGAAAGGCCAAUCAAACCGGGAGAUAGCUGGUUCUCCCCGAAAGCUAUUUAGGUAGCGCCUCGUGAAUUCAUCUUCGGGGGUAGAGCACUGUUUCGGCUAGGGGGUCAUCCCGACUUACCAACCCGAUGCAAACUACGAAUACCGAAGAAUGUUAUCACGGGAGACACACGGCGGGUGCUAACGUCCGUCGUGAAGAGGGAAACAACCCAGACCGCCAGCUAAGGUCCCAAAGUCAUGGUUAAGUGGGAAACGAUGUGGGAAGGCACAGACAGCCAGGAUGUUGGCUUAGAAGCAGCCAUCAUUUAAAGAAAGCGUAAUAGCUCACUGGUCGAGUCGGCCUGCGCGGAAGAUGUAACGGGGCUAAACCAUGCACCGAAGCUGCGGCAGCGACACUAUGUGUUGUUGGGUAGGGGAGCGUUCUGUAAGCCUGCGAAGGUGUGCUGUGAGGCAUGCUGGAGGUAUCAGAAGUGCGAAUGCUGACAUAAGUAACGAUAAAGCGGGUGAAAAGCCCGCUCGCCGGAAGACCAAGGGUUCCUGUCCAACGUUAAUCGGGGCAGGGUGAGUCGACCCCUAAGGCGAGGCCGAAAGGCGUAGUCGAUGGGAAACAGGUUAAUAUUCCUGUACUUGGUGUUACUGCGAAGGGGGGACGGAGAAGGCUAUGUUAGCCGGGCGACGGUUGUCCCGGUUUAAGCAUGUAGGCUGGUUAUCCAGGCAAAUCCGGAUAAUCAAGGCUGAGGUGUGAUGACGAGGCACUACGGUGCUGAAGUAACAAAUGCCCUGCUUCCAGGAAAAGCCUCUAAGCAUCAGGUAACAUCAAAUCGUACCCCAAACCGACACAGGUGGUCAGGUAGAGAAUACCAAGGCGCUUGAGAGAACUCGGGUGAAGGAACUAGGCAAAAUGGUGCCGUAACUUCGGGAGAAGGCACGCUGGUGUGUAGGUGAAGUCCCUGCGGAUGGAGCUGAGACCAGUCGAAGAUACCAGCUGGCUGCAACUGUUUAUUAAAAACACAGCACUGUGCAAACACGAAAGUGGACGUAUACGGUGUGACGCCUGCCCGGUGCCGGAAGGUUAAUUGAUGGGGUUAUCCGUAAGGAGAAGCUCUUGAUCGAAGCCCCGGUAAACGGCGGCCGUAACUAUAACGGUCCUAAGGUAGCGAAAUUCCUUGUCGGGUAAGUUCCGACCUGCACGAAUGGCGUAAUGAUGGCCAGGCUGUCUCCACCCGAGACUCAGUGAAAUUGAACUCGCUGUGAAGAUGCAGUGUACCCGCGGCAAGACGGAAAGACCCCGUGAACCUUUACUAUAGCUUGACACUGAACAUUGAGCCUUGAUGUGUAGGAUAGGUGGGAGGCUUUGAAGCGUGGACGCCAGUCUGCGUGGAGCCAACCUUGAAAUACCACCCUUUAAUGUUUGAUGUUCUAACGUUGGCCCCUGACCGGGGUUGCGGACAGUGUCUGGUGGGUAGUUUGACUGGGGCGGUCUCCUCCCAAAGCGUAACGGAGGAGCACGAAGGUUAGCUAAUCCUGGUCGGACAUCAGGAGGUUAGUGCAAUGGCAUAAGCUAGCUUGACUGCGAGCGUGACGGCGCGAGCAGGUGCGAAAGCAGGUCAUAGUGAUCCGGUGGUUCUGAAUGGAAGGGCCAUCGCUCAACGGAUAAAAGGUACUCCGGGGAUAACAGGCUGAUACCGCCCAAGAGUUCAUAUCGACGGCGGUGUUUGGCACCUCGAUGUCGGCUCAUCACAUCCUGGGGCUGAAGUAGGUCCCAAGGGUAUGGCUGUUCGCCAUUUAAAGUGGUACGCGAGCUGGGUUUAGAACGUCGUGAGACAGUUCGGUCCCUAUCUGCCGUGGGCGCUGGAGAAUUGAGGGGGGCUGCUCCUAGUACGAGAGGACCGGAGUGGACGCAUCACUGGUGUUCGGGUUGUCAUGCCAAUGGCACUGCCCGGUAGCUAAAUGCGGAAGAGAUAAGUGCUGAAAGCAUCUAAGCACGAAACUUGCCCCGAGAUGAGUUCUCCCUGAGACUUUAAGUCUCCUGAAGGAACGUUGAAGACGACGACGUUGAUAGGCCGGGUGUGUAAGCGCAGCGAUGCGUUGAGCUAACCGGUACUAAUGAACCGUGAGGCUUAACCUUACAACGCCGAAG
RNAcentral lists this ribosomal RNA (2923 nucleotides) under Klebsiella pneumoniae. Its description in RNAcentral is "23S ribosomal RNA". It matches the Rfam family "Bacterial large subunit ribosomal RNA". Lineage: Bacteria; Pseudomonadati; Pseudomonadota; Gammaproteobacteria; Enterobacterales; Enterobacteriaceae. The record is from RNAcentral.